This 73-nucleotide transfer RNA is filed under the name Spirochaetaceae bacterium. RNAcentral describes it as "tRNA-Ala". It matches the Rfam family "tRNA". Rfam says of the family: Transfer RNA (tRNA) molecules are approximately 80 nucleotides in length. Their secondary structure includes four short double-helical elements and three loops (D, anti-codon, and T loops). The record is from RNAcentral. Lineage: Bacteria; Pseudomonadati; Spirochaetota; Spirochaetia; Spirochaetales; Spirochaetaceae. RNAcentral also lists the same sequence under 1 other name.
GGGGAUAUAGCUCACCUGGUAGAGCGACAGGUUCGCAAUCUGUAGGUAGCCGGUUCGAGUCCGGUUAUCUCCA